RNAcentral lists this ribosomal RNA (253 nucleotides) under uncultured bacterium. RNAcentral's name for it is "partial 16S ribosomal RNA". It matches the Rfam family "Bacterial small subunit ribosomal RNA", at positions 524 to 776 of the family's 1533-position model. The record is from RNAcentral.
UACGUAGGGGGCAAGCGUUGUCCGGCAUCAUUGGGCGUAAAGAGCGUGUAGGCGGCUCGAUAAGUCUGCUGUGAAAGUCCAGGGCUCAACCCUGGACGGCCGGUGGAAACUGUCGGGCUAGAGUCCGGAAGAGGCGAGUGGAAUUCCCGGUGUAGCGGUGAAAUGCGCAGAUAUCGGGAGGAACACCAAUGGCGAAGGCAGCUCGCUGGGACGGUACUGACGCUGAGACGCGAAAGCGUGGGGAGCAAACAGG